CCUACGGGGGGCAGCAGUGGGGAAUAUUGGACAAUGGGGGCAACCCUGAUCCAGCCAUGCCGCGUGUGUGAAGAAGGCCCUCGGGUUGUAAAGCACUUUCAGUGAGGAAGAACGCCUGGUGGUUAAUACCCAUCAGGAAAGACAUCACUCACAGAAGAAGCACCGGCUAACUCCGUGCCAGCAGCCGCGGUAAUACGGAGGGUGCGAGCGUUAAUCGGAAUUACUGGGCGUAAAGCGCGCGUAGGUGGCUUGAUAAGCCGGUUGUGAAAGCCCCGGGCUCAACCUGGGAACGGCAUCCGGAACUGUCAAGCUAGAGUGCAGGAGAGGAAGGUAGAAUUCCCGGUGUAGCGGUGAAAUGCGUAGAGAUCGGGAGGAAUACCAGUGGCGAAGGCGGCCUUCUGGACUGAUACUGACACUGAGGUGCGAAAGCGUGGGUAGCAAACAGGAUUAGAUACCCUAGUAGUC
This 465-nucleotide ribosomal RNA is filed under the name Vreelandella stevensii. RNAcentral describes it as "partial 16S ribosomal RNA". It matches the Rfam family "Bacterial small subunit ribosomal RNA", at positions 338 to 795 of the family's 1533-position model. Lineage: Bacteria; Pseudomonadati; Pseudomonadota; Gammaproteobacteria; Oceanospirillales; Halomonadaceae. The record is from RNAcentral.